Molecule: long non-coding RNA, 614 nt
Organism: Brassica napus (rape)
Lineage: Eukaryota; Viridiplantae; Streptophyta; Magnoliopsida; Brassicales; Brassicaceae
Exons: 3
Source: RefSeq, a predicted model, not a curated record
CAGAACACCCGGGUCGCUAGAUAUAAUUAAUUAAUCUUUGAGGUUGAAUGUUUAGUAUUUUCCCCGAAAAGACUCGCAAAAAGGACGGUUCGGCGUCGUUCUAUUCAUUCUAAAUUUUUUUUGAAGCAGCAGCGAUGGACGCCGACGGAGAAACCAUGGAGGAGGCAGCUCCGGCGACGAGGACGAGAGAGAAGCAGAGGAGAAUCGGAAAGAAAAGUUGUUAGCGUCAACACAGUCUCUUCAACCUAACUUUAAUCGAUCUAACGUCACCGAGCAUUACUACAGGAGCUACACAAGAGACGUAUGCAAAUAAAAGCCAAUUAAAAUAUAUCCAAAAGAAACCUAAAGCGAGGGGGAAUUCUCAGAGUGGGGCAGCUGAUGGCGUAAGCUCUAAGAAAUUGAAAGAAUCUUCUACCUUAGAAGAACUUCAUCAUCAUCAUUAUCAUCAUAAGACAGAAGUCACAGUACCAAAGAGGCCACAAAAGCUGUAUCCUGUAUGGGGGCUAGAUUCCAAGGAAAGGUGGGAAAGGAAAGCCAACAUGUAUUGGUUGAUGAAUCGAUUUCUCAUUAUUGAUUUACUUAGUCCAUUGUACAAGUUAUUCAAAGAGCAUGAA